AGCCGUCGAGAAUACGUGCCUUCACGGUUGUUUCAUCACAAAGCAUGCCAGGACAUAAUUCUCGUACAUUUUUAUACCUUCGCCGUGAUCAGCUGUCCCGUUGCAAACAAAGGGAUUCUUAUCAAGCAACAUCUUAAUCUUGUACAUAAUCCGCUAUUCUGCAGUGAUUUUCUUUCACUCCAGUAUCAUUUGUACGUUGCAGCAUCAUCAAACACUAUGGCCGAUGAAUCAGAAGAUGACGUAGAUGCUACGAGAGAGCUCAUUUCACAAUGGACAACAGAAGUGAUACGUGCCUUUCUACAAGGAGGGGACUCAAGCUUGGAAAUUGAGGAGUCAUUAUUUUAUGGGUGUUCUCUGCCCUGACGCUGGGGGUACUGUUCAGCCAUCUGAGGUAGAGAGGUAGAGAGGAACUGGACGAUGGAUGGAUGGGGGGGGGGGGAGAAAGAAAGGCAUGCAGAGAUGGCUGUCUACUAUGUAUAGAGACAUUUGUGUGCUACUGGAUAAGGACCCUCCAUCACUAGAGGGAAGAAUAAUGAGAGACUACAAAUAGGGGAAGGCAUUUAGUUAUUUUGCCAGUUUCUGGUUAGGGAGACAUUUGUUUCAUCUCCUGGGAGAAAGCUGUCUGAAAUUCAAAAUGUAUUUGAUACUUGAAUAAAUUUAGUUCAUUUUCUAGACUGGUUCAUGUCAAACC
This is a long non-coding RNA of Strongylocentrotus purpuratus (purple sea urchin), 691 nucleotides long. RefSeq lists it as uncharacterized. The record is from RefSeq and is a predicted model, not a curated record. NCBI's taxonomy places the organism in Eukaryota, Metazoa, Echinodermata, Echinoidea, Camarodonta, Strongylocentrotidae. The transcript is spliced from 2 exons.